GUGCUUUGCUAUUUUCAUUGACUUAUGAUAUCGUGAUAUUGAGAAUUCAAUGAUGUAUAGCAAGGAACCU
This 70-nucleotide microRNA precursor is filed under the name Nicotiana sylvestris (wood tobacco). Its description in RNAcentral is "MIR8041 microRNA precursor family". It matches the Rfam family "MIR8041 microRNA precursor family". The record is from Rfam by way of RNAcentral. Lineage: Eukaryota; Viridiplantae; Streptophyta; Magnoliopsida; Solanales; Solanaceae. RNAcentral also lists the same sequence under 1 other name.